UGCCUGCAUGUUUCUUUUUUACCCAAACUGAGAGUCUUUGUUUAUAAUUGGGGGAAUUCAAACUUGUCACACAAAUUGUGAUCACUUUAUGUGAAAUUACUCCUACAGAGAAAAUCCCAAGCCGAAGAAACUAACUGCCUCAUUUCAACUAGUAAAUGGGCAGAGUUGGUAGCUCUCCUGAGCCUGUGCAUGGAGACUGGAAGGGAGUCACACCUGCUUCCAAGCCUGAGACCGGGCUGGCCAGGUCAGAUAGAGUGAGAGGUUCUUUGCCCUUCUCUCUGGAAUGCGGUCCCCUGGCUUCCUCUGAAGACCAAGCAAAGACCAGUCCCCCGCCUGGAGUAGGCUCUUCUUCAACUAACCGGUGAAGUUGUACAACCUGGGUUCAUGUCCCGACUUGGACACUUACUACAUGUGUAACUUCGGCAGGGCGUGAGCUGGGCUGGCCCAAGGAGGGGCAUCAGCCAGGCCUUUGAACUCUGAGGUGGAAAGCAGCACU
This is a long non-coding RNA of Mustela erminea (ermine), 496 nucleotides long. RefSeq lists it as uncharacterized. The transcript is spliced from 3 exons. The record is from RefSeq and is a predicted model, not a curated record. Lineage: Eukaryota; Metazoa; Chordata; Mammalia; Carnivora; Mustelidae.